RNAcentral lists this ribosomal RNA (255 nucleotides) under uncultured bacterium. RNAcentral's name for it is "partial 16S ribosomal RNA". It matches the Rfam family "Bacterial small subunit ribosomal RNA", at positions 524 to 777 of the family's 1533-position model. The record is from RNAcentral.
UACGGAGGGGGCUAGCGUUGUUCGGAAUUACUGGGCGUAAAGCGCACGUAGGCGGCUUUCUAAGUCGGGGGUGAAAUCCUGGAGCUCAACUCCAGAACUGCCUUCGAUACUGGAGAGCUUGAGUCCGGGAGAGGUGAGUGGAACUGCGAGUGUAGAGGUGAAAUUCGUAGAUAUUCGCAAGAACACCAGUGGCGAAGGCGGCUCACUGGCCCCGGUACUGACGCUGAGGUGCGAAAGCGUGGGGAGCAAACAGGG